Molecule: ribosomal RNA, 274 nt
Filed under: uncultured bacterium
Lineage: Bacteria
Description: partial 16S ribosomal RNA
Rfam family: Bacterial small subunit ribosomal RNA
Source: RNAcentral
AUACGAAGGUCCCAAGCGUUAUUCGGAAUCACUGGGCGUAAAGAGUACGUAGGCGGUUUGGUAAGUCAGGUGUGAAAUCCCGAAGCUCAACUUCGGAACUGCAUCCGAUACUGCCAGACUUGAGUAAUGGAGAGGCAGGUGGAAUUCUCGGUGUAGCAGUGAAAUGCGUGGAUAUCGAGAGGAAGACCAAUGGCGAAGGCAGCCUGCUGGACAUUUACUGACGCUGAGGUACGAAGGCUAGGGGAGCGAAAGGGAUUAGAAACCCGGGUAGUCC